UACGUAGGGUGCAAGCGUUAAUCGGAAUUACUGGGCGUAAAGCGUGCGCAGGCGGUUUUGUAAGUCUGACGUGAAAUCCCCGGGCUCAACCUGGGAAUUGCGUUGGAGACUGCAAGGCUAGAAUCUGGUAGAGGGGGGUAGAAUUCCACGUGUAGCAGUGAAAUGCGUAGAGAUGUGGAGGAACACCGAUGGCGAAGGCAGCCCCCUGGGUCAAGAUUGACGCUCAUGCACGAAAGCGUGGGGAGCAAACAGG
This 253-nucleotide ribosomal RNA is filed under the name uncultured bacterium. Its description in RNAcentral is "partial 16S ribosomal RNA". It matches the Rfam family "Bacterial small subunit ribosomal RNA", at positions 524 to 776 of the family's 1533-position model. The record is from RNAcentral.